This 200-nucleotide ribosomal RNA is filed under the name uncultured bacterium. Its description in RNAcentral is "partial 16S ribosomal RNA". It matches the Rfam family "Bacterial small subunit ribosomal RNA", at positions 30 to 235 of the family's 1533-position model. The record is from RNAcentral.
AUUGAACGCUGGCGGCAGGCCUAACACAUGCAAGUCGAGCGCGAAAGUUCUUCGGAAUGAGUAAAGCGGCGGACGGGUGAGUAAUACAUGGGAAUCUGCCUGGUAGUGGGGGACAACGUUUCGAAAGGAACGCUAAUACCGCAUACGCCCUACGGGGAAAGGGGGGAUCGCAAGACCUCUCGCUAUCAGAUGAGCCCAUG